UAUUAGGAGUGGUCGAUUCCAUGUUGACCUACUUAUAACCUCCAUACAUAAUUCACCAUAUCUAGAACAUCCCGUACAUGACUAAGUCAUGAAUGAGUAUGAACCAAAACUAUGGUUUCAUAUGCACAAGGUUCCAUGGUGAUCUCAGGUCUAAGGACCACAUGCACAACCCCCACUAGAGAAGCAUCUCUUGACAUUAGAAUUUCAUAAGAUAUUUCUCAUGUCAGAUCAAUUCAGUGAACUCAUUCUCUAAUGAGCACCCACACUCUUGUAUUAGUAUCUCACACAAGUAGCUUAUGAGAUCAGCUACCCA
RNAcentral lists this long non-coding RNA (313 nucleotides) under Elaeis guineensis (African oil palm). RNAcentral's name for it is "long non-coding RNA (EGUI_LNC052643)". The record is from RNAcentral. Lineage: Eukaryota; Viridiplantae; Streptophyta; Magnoliopsida; Arecales; Arecaceae.